This 253-nucleotide ribosomal RNA is filed under the name uncultured bacterium. RNAcentral describes it as "partial 16S ribosomal RNA". It matches the Rfam family "Bacterial small subunit ribosomal RNA", at positions 524 to 776 of the family's 1533-position model. The record is from RNAcentral.
UACGAGUGCCCCGAGCGUUAUCCGGAAUCAUUGGGCGUAAAGGGUGUGUAGGUGGCCAUGUUAGUCAGUUGUUAAAACCCGGGGCUCAACUCCGGAACCGCGACUGAAACGGCAUGGCUAGAGGAUGGCAGGGAUGUAUGGAACUCAUGGAGUAGGGGUGAAAUCCGUUGAUAUCAUGGGGAACACCAAAAGCGAAGGCAGUACAUUGGGCCACUCCUGACACUGAAACACGAAAGCGUGGGUAGCGAAUGGG